This 304-nucleotide unclassified non-coding RNA is filed under the name Hevea brasiliensis (rubber tree). Lineage: Eukaryota; Viridiplantae; Streptophyta; Magnoliopsida; Malpighiales; Euphorbiaceae. The record is from RNAcentral.
GAGUACCGUCAUUUUUGGCAUUCCGAGUUGAGCUGCUGUUUCGAAAACCUGUUUCGCUGCGGCUAUGGCUCCUAGAUAAGCGUUGGAAUCGGCGUCUCCGCUGCCGAUAUGGAAGGACACGCCGGAGACGGUGAGUCUAGCGGCUUGAGCUGUACGGAGGAGCGGCUCGAUUUCCUCCGGUAAUGCGCCGUAUUUUGGACCCAUUGGGCAUCUCGCGUUGCCGUCGGUCAUGGGUUUGAUUCGAAGCAAAAGCUCGCAUUUUGGGUGAUGUUUACGGAUCUUGUAAACUUCAUCCUCGGAAUCG